GGAAUGAUGAAGAAGCUUGCUUCUUCUGAUUUUAGCGGCGGACGGGUGAGUAACACGUGGGCAACCUACCUUGUAGAUUGGGAUAACUCCGGGAAACCGGGGCUAAUACCGAAUAAUCCAUUUUGCUUCAUGGCGAGAUGUUGAAAGACGGUUUCGGCUGUCACUACAAGAUGGGCCCGCGGCGCAUUAGCUAGUUGGUAGGGGUAAUGGCCUACCAAGGCGACGAUGCGUAGCCGACCUGAGAGGGUGAUCGGCCACACUGGGACUGAGACACGGCCCAGACUCCUACGGGAGGCAGCAGUAGGGAAUCUUCCACAAUGGACGAAAGUCUGAUGGAGCAACGCCGCGUGAGUGAAGAAGGUUUUCGGAUCGUAAAACUCUGUUGUAAGGGAAGAACACGUACGAGAGUAACUGCUCGUACCUUGACGGUACCUUAUUAGAAAGCCACGGCUAACUACGUG
RNAcentral lists this ribosomal RNA (461 nucleotides) under uncultured bacterium. RNAcentral's name for it is "bacterial SSU rRNA". It matches the Rfam family "Bacterial small subunit ribosomal RNA", at positions 68 to 507 of the family's 1533-position model. The record is from RNAcentral.